GACCCGACUUGGUAGACGCUGUGGUUAGCGUGGAGCAGUCGCGGGGCCAUUGCUGUCCCUCCCGCCUCGAGCCCGUGGCGGCAUCUCCGGGGCAUCUCGUCAGGUUUGACCUCGGAUCAGGUAGGGGUACCCGCUGAACUUAAGC
This 145-nucleotide ribosomal RNA is filed under the name Tuber aestivum (summer truffle). RNAcentral's name for it is "partial 28S ribosomal RNA". The record is from RNAcentral. Lineage: Eukaryota; Fungi; Ascomycota; Pezizomycetes; Pezizales; Tuberaceae.